CCUACGGGAGGCAGCAGUGGGGAAUUUUGGACAAUGGGCGAAAGCCUGAUCCAGCAAUGCCGCGUGAGUGAAGAAGGCCUUCGGGUUGUAAAGCUCUUUUGUCAGGGAAGAAACGGUGAGAGCUAAUAUCUCUUGCUAAUGACGGUACCUGAAGAAUAAGCACCGGCUAACUACGUGCCAGCAGCCGCGGUAAUACGUAGGGUGCAAGCGUUAAUCGGAAUUACUGGGCGUAAAGCGUGCGCAGGCGGUUUUGUAAGUCUGAUGUGAAAUCCCCGGGCUCAACCUGGGAAUUGCAUUGGAGACUGCAAGGCUAGAAUCUGGCAGAGGGGGGUAGAAUUCCACGUGUAGCAGUGAAAUGCGUAGAUAUGUGGAGGAACACCGAUGGCGAAGGCAGCCCCCUGGGUCAAGAUUGACGCUCAUGCACGAAAGCGUGGGGAGCAAACAGGAUUAGAUACCCUGGUAGUCCACGCCCUAAACGAUGUCUACUAGUUGUCGGGUCUUAAUUGACUUGGUAACGCAGCUAACGCGUGAAGUAGACCGCCUGGGGAGUACGGUCGCAAGNUUAAAACGUUAAAGAUUAGUACGGCGUGAGACGAGACGACGGACGACGACGAGGAGGAGGAG
This 624-nucleotide ribosomal RNA is filed under the name uncultured bacterium. RNAcentral's name for it is "bacterial SSU rRNA". It matches the Rfam family "Bacterial small subunit ribosomal RNA", at positions 338 to 955 of the family's 1533-position model. The record is from RNAcentral.